RNAcentral lists this long non-coding RNA (1917 nucleotides) under Salmo salar (Atlantic salmon). Its description in RNAcentral is "lncRNA (ENSSSAG00000115118.1)". The record is from RNAcentral. Lineage: Eukaryota; Metazoa; Chordata; Actinopteri; Salmoniformes; Salmonidae.
UCCCCCCCAGUUUUAUCAUUGGAAUGUGAUACAAAACAAGACAACGGUGUGCUUUAGGACCAUGUGGACGCCUCCAAGUGGUCGGGUAUGCUGUUUGGAGUGUUUAUCCGACUGGAUUUAGGACCAUGCGUACACCACAGAGUGGGCUGACAGGCAACGCUUCUGGAAGGCUGGUUGGACCAGCACGGGAGAGUUGAGCAUAGUUCAGUGUGUAAGUGUUGCGCUCUUUCACCAAGUUGUAAAAGGAAAAGAAACUGGCCACUCUUUCAUUGACUGAUGUAGCUGGCAAUGUAACUGCUGUUUACCCUAAACAGCGGUUGACAUGCUUCGAAGGACGGUAAUGGAAUAUUUAGAUUUUUUUUGUCACGAAUUGCGCCAUGCUCGUCACCCUUAUUUAUCCUUUCGGAUAGUGUCUUGAACGCACGAACAAAACGCCGCUAUUUGGAUAUAACUAUGGAUUAUUUUGAACCAAACCAACAUUUGUUAUUGAAGUAGAAGUCCUGGGAGUGCAUUCUGACGAAGACAGCAAAGCAGGAUCAGAUGGUGACAGGGGUCCCAGCAGUGUCAAACAGCCAGGGAAGACCAGCCUACAGAGCUCAGGAGGAUUAUAUGGUGACAGGGGUCUCAGCAGAGUCAGGCAGCCAGGGAAGACCAGUCUGUGACGGAGCGCUGGCGAGAGGAGCAGAAAACGAGUGGGCUGCUGAGCGCCCAAGUAGAUCAUGGGAGGCAGACACAGUCGUACAAAGCACUCAGUAAUGGUCUUUAGACAAAGAACACAUGGCCUUCUGAGGAAAACUAGAUCAAUGGACAUAACUCUAACAAGGCAUACUACAUCUACAUGUCCUACAUGUGUCUGCUAGCCGGACUGCUGUAUCCUCCUGGCAAAGGGUUUCUAGGGAAUUGUAUGAUCUUCUAGCCCCACGCUGGCUGGUUACAUGCUGAGGACAGCUUCAACAGAGACAUGUAGCGACAGAUAUGUAUUUGGUUGAACUGUACAGCCUUAUAGUUAUUUUAUAGUAGCUGUAUGUUCCCGCCGCCUCUCACAACAUUGGUCUUUAAUGCUUGCUGAUUCUUUAAUGCUUGCUGAUUCUUUAAUGCUUGCUAAGUCUUUGUGCAUCUGUCUUGUCUAAUUAAAUGUCAGAUUUUUCUGCUUUUGAAAUACAUUGUGACAUGCAGCCUCAUCUCCGGUCUCACCCCCAACACACUCCCACAUCCACCAAUCAAAAGACUCCGGUCUCUCCCCCAAUGCACUCCCACAUCCACCAACCAACAGACUGCGGUCUCUCCCUCAACGCACUCCCACUCCCACCAACAAAUAGACUCCGGUCUCUCUCUCAAUGCACUCCUACUCCCACCAACCAACAGACUCCGGUCUCUCCCCUAAUGCACUCCCACACCCACCAACCAACAGACUCCGGUCUCUACCCCAAUGCACUCCCACACCCACCAACCAACAGACUCCGGUCUCUCCCCCAAUGCACUCCCACCAACCAACAGACUCAGGUCUCUCCCCCAAUGCACUCCCACACCACCAACUAACAUAUUCUUGUCUCUCCCUCAACACACUCCCACACCCACCAACAAAGAGACUCCAGUCUCUACUCCCACUCUCAGCAACAAAGACACUCCGGUCUCUACUCCCACCAACCAACAGACUCCGGUCUCUCCCCCAAUGCACUUCCACACCCACCAACCAACAGACUCCGGUCUCUCCCCCAAUGCACUUUCACUCCCACACCCACCAACCAACGAACUCCGGUCUCUCCCCAACGCAAUCCCACACCCACCAACAAACAUAUUCUUGUCUCUCCCUCAACACACUCCCACACCCACCAACCAACAGACUCCAGUCUCUCCUCCCACUCUCACCAACAAAGAGACUCCGGUCUCUCCUCCAACUCUCACCAACAAAGAGAC